Poeciliopsis prolifica (blackstripe livebearer) is the source of this 245-nucleotide long non-coding RNA. RefSeq lists it as uncharacterized. Lineage: Eukaryota; Metazoa; Chordata; Actinopteri; Cyprinodontiformes; Poeciliidae. The record is from RefSeq and is a predicted model, not a curated record. The transcript is spliced from 4 exons.
GGACUUGUUGAAGGAAAGUGUCAAGGCGUUGAUAGAGGAAUCAGUCAAGAUGAAUAAAGAAGAACAAAGUAGGCUUGAAACUCUCUCAAGACUUCUGGAUGAUGCAAGGUCACUGAAAACCGAGGAAGAUCUGGAGACAUUCAAGCAGACCCUCAGGAAAGCAGUGAAUGAAGCGUUUGAACAAGAGACUGAAAUGAAGUACAGAAUUGCAGCCUCUAUUGAACAGUUCGAAUACAAGAUGAAGG